CGGGUGAGUAACGCGUGAGGAACCUGCCUCAAAGAGGGGGACAACAGUUGGAAACGACUGCUAAUACCGCAUAAGCCCACGGUGCCGCAUGGCACAGAGGGAAAAGGAGCAAUCCGCUUUGAGAUGGCCUCGCGUCCGAUUAGCUAGUUGGUGAGGUAAUGGCCCACCAAGGCAACGAUCGGUAGCCGGACUGAGAGGUUGAACGGCCACAUUGGGACUGAGACACGGCCCAG
Molecule: ribosomal RNA, 233 nt
Filed under: uncultured bacterium
Lineage: Bacteria
Description: partial 16S ribosomal RNA
Rfam family: Bacterial small subunit ribosomal RNA
Source: RNAcentral